UGGGGAAUAUUGCACAAUGGAGGGAACUCUGAUGCAGCGACGCCGCGUGAACGAAGAAGGCUUUCGAGUCGUAAAGUUCUUUUAUAUGGGAAGAUAAUGACGGUACCAUAAGAAAAAGCCCCGGCUAACUACGUGCCAGAAGCCGCGGUAAUAAGUAGGGGGCUAGCGUUGUCCGGAAUCAUUGGGCGUAAAGGGUUCGCAGGCGGAAAGGAAAGUCAGGUGUAAAAGGCAGUAGCUUAACUACUGUAAGCAUUUGAAACUGCAUAUCUUGAGAAGAGUAGGGGUAAGUGGAAUUUUUAGUGUAGCGGUGAAAUGCGUAGAUAUUAAAAAGAAUACCGGUGGCGAAAGCGGCUUACUGGGCUCAUUCUGACGCUGAGGAACGAAAGCGUGGGUAGCAAACAGG
Molecule: ribosomal RNA, 403 nt
Filed under: bacterium
Lineage: Bacteria
Description: partial 16S ribosomal RNA
Rfam family: Bacterial small subunit ribosomal RNA
Source: RNAcentral